Molecule: non-coding RNA, 1939 nt
Organism: Jatropha curcas
Lineage: Eukaryota; Viridiplantae; Streptophyta; Magnoliopsida; Malpighiales; Euphorbiaceae
Source: RefSeq, a predicted model, not a curated record
GUCUGCACAACAAAUGGUACCCAGGAGAGUGUGCCAUCCAUGAUGACAUCCCGCCCUUCAUUCAGUGCUGUCACCAGGAGAGAAGAUGCAGCGUCCGUGGAAGAUUGGUGUACCUAUUUGAGAAAAUAGAAAAAGAAAAAUUUAUACUACCAGGGAAGAGCAUCUAGACCAGUGUCAGAUCAUUGAUGCAUAUAGUACUUUCUUAUCGGAUGUGGAAUUGAGUGAUGCCAACAGCUUGUGCUUCUUUCCCAAGAUAAGAAUCUCCUUAAGAACAGUGCUCUUCCCAGCACCCAUCCCACCACCCAUGAAGAGGAGGACUGGACUUCUAUCAGAGUGUGCCACUGGAGCCAUAACCUCUGUACAUUGUGAGUCAUCAAGUGAUGCUAGUCCCAUUGCUUUCAUUUCCUCCACCAAGGUUGAUAGCAUUUAUUCCGACAAUAACACGACUAUUACGCACCUUGUUGCUGCCAUCACAAUGUUUUUGAACUUCUUUUUGGGUUCAUCAGCACUCAACACCUGAAAUUAUAUGGUAAGCAAGCUGCAAAAACUCAAUACAGGAAUGCAAAAUAGCUAAAUAACUAUUUAUUUAUGCAAAUAACAUUAAAAUUCUUAUUCAUUCAUAAAAAUAACAAAUAGAAAGACGAGAAAGGGAAUUUUGUUAUCUGAGAUUUGAUCCUAAUGCCAUGCUUUUAAUUUAAUUAAUCCUGAAUAUACAUAAAACGAUUUGACAUUAUCUCUGUUAAAUAUCCUACAUUAGUAUAAUAAACAAACUAUCCUAAAAGUAUCAAAAUGAAAAGGAUCAAAAUGAAAUAAAAUCAACGGUUGUUGAUGAAUUAAGAGAAAACAUAUCACAUGAUCACCAUCCACUUAUAAUUAAUUAUAUGACCUGAUGCAUGAUGAGAUCAGCAUGGCUCCAAUGGAAUGCAAAAUAGCUAAGAAUGCAUCUCUCGAACUCCUCAAGAAGUUUUACAAAAAGCGAAUCAGCUUCAACUUCAUCUGCAAAAUAUGCAUAAACAUCUUCUUCAAACCCUUCGCUCUUUUGAAUAUAUUCUGCAGCUAACUUACAGAGCUGUGGACAUUCUCUCCUAUCUGCAAAUCCCAUUUGUCUAGCUGCACACACCAUCCAUCCAUCAUUAUAUGAAACUAACACACAAUUGAUUAAUAAUGGUAAAAAAGAUGUUUCAAAAUGGAUCAUAUAUAAAAAUAAAUGUAUUUACCUACAUAAUGGGAGAACCUUUCAAGCUUCUCUGCUCUGCCAGCUCCCUUGGGUUUUAAACGAGGAAUUAUCUUCCGAUCUCUUACCAGCUUGAGACGAAAAUGCACUGCUGCUGCUAUUAUGAACCCAAUGGAAGAGGCUACAAUGAUCUGAUCGAAUGUUGGUUUGUUGUUAUAAUCUGAAUAGACAAAAUUAAUUAUUAUUAUUAUUAUUAUUAUUAUUAAUUUAAAAUGAGAUGAAUGCAGAAAAAUGAAUCAAAAACUAAAAAAAAAGAGGGAAAAAGAAAUACUGAUAACCUCUGAUCUGCAUUUCUGAGAUUUGCAGGAUUAAGGAUUUUCUGUUUGGUUUGUUGUUGCUGUGAAGAAAGGAAACAAAAAUGCCAUUUGCAUUUCGUUCCUUGUCGCAUGGUAUCCCUUAUAUUUGCUUGGAGACAUCCAUAAAACUGGCAGGAAGCUCCAUGCAUUUCUCAAUAUAACCAAAUCAAAUGGUGACACUUGUUUUCUCUUUUUUCUUUUCCUUUUUUUUUUUUUUUUUAAGUAGACAUGACUACUGUUUGGAAACAACAAUGUAUACAUACCCCAUGAUUUAACCCUCAAAUUUUGACAAGAAAACCUUGUUGCUCCCUAACUUAAAAAUCAAUCUUGUAAUACUCCAAAUUUCACUUUUGUAAUAAUCUUGUAUCUUGACCCAAAAAUAAUUUUUAGAUUUUUUAGCUUUUGUAUA